This is a non-coding RNA of Araneus ventricosus, 67 nucleotides long. The record is from the annotation of a GenBank genome assembly. Lineage: Eukaryota; Metazoa; Arthropoda; Arachnida; Araneae; Araneidae.
GCCCGAUAGCCGAGUGGUUAGAGCAUUGAUCUCCCAUACCAAGGCCCGAAGUUCGAAUCUUUGGACA